GUGNGAAAACUCUGGUGGUAUACGAUGGUUCCGCGUCUGAUUAGCUAGUUGGUGGGGUAAUGGCCUACCAAGGCAACGAUCAGUAGCCGGCCUGAGAGGGUGAACGGCCACAUUGGGACUGAGACACGGCCCAAACUCCUACGGGAGGCAGCAG
RNAcentral lists this ribosomal RNA (154 nucleotides) under uncultured bacterium. RNAcentral's name for it is "partial 16S ribosomal RNA". It matches the Rfam family "Bacterial small subunit ribosomal RNA", at positions 198 to 354 of the family's 1533-position model. The record is from RNAcentral.